This 46-nucleotide transfer RNA is filed under the name Phytophthora kernoviae. RNAcentral describes it as "partial tRNA-Arg". The record is from RNAcentral. Lineage: Eukaryota; Oomycota; Peronosporomycetes; Peronosporales; Peronosporaceae.
AUGCUUAUAGCUUAAUUGGAUAAAGCCUUAGAUUGCGGAUCUACCG